UGGGGAAUAUUGCACAAUGGGCGAAAGCCUGAUGCAGCAACGCCGCGUGAGUGAUGACGGUCUUCGGAUUGUAAAGCUCUGUCUUUGGGGACGAUAAUGACGGUACCCAAGGAGGAAGCCACGGCUAACUACGUGCCAGCAGCCGCGGUCAUACGUAGGUGACAAGCGUUGUCCGGAUUUACUGGGCGUAAAGGGUGCGUAGGCGGACCUUUAAGUGAGAUGUGAAAUCCCCGAGCUUAACUUGGGGGCUGCAUUUCAAACUGGAGGUCUAGAGUGCAGGAGAGGAGAGUGGAAUUCCUAGUGUAGCGGUGAAAUGCGUAGAGAUUAGGAAGAACACCAGGGGCGAAGGCGACUCUCUGGACUGUAACUGACGAUGAGGCACGAAA
This 386-nucleotide ribosomal RNA is filed under the name uncultured bacterium. Its description in RNAcentral is "bacterial SSU rRNA". It matches the Rfam family "Bacterial small subunit ribosomal RNA", at positions 355 to 758 of the family's 1533-position model. The record is from RNAcentral.